AUAAGUUAUUUAAGAUUUUUCUCUCAUGCUUACAUUUUAGGGGAGGAAAGUUUGCAAGAAAGCGAACUUGUCAAUAUAUUCGUCCGUAAAAUGAGCCCAAGUAAUUUGGAAAUAAGAAUUAAUGUAAGAACAUUGUAACAACCUGACCUGAGAAAAAUAACAUCCAACCAAUUUGCUUCUUAGAAGCAUAAAAAGCCAAAAUGAUGUCGUUUUGAAAAAUCUCAAAAACAACGUCGUU
RNAcentral lists this long non-coding RNA (238 nucleotides) under Carica papaya (papaya). RNAcentral's name for it is "long non-coding RNA (CPAP_LNC007499)". Lineage: Eukaryota; Viridiplantae; Streptophyta; Magnoliopsida; Brassicales; Caricaceae. The record is from RNAcentral.